This 253-nucleotide ribosomal RNA is filed under the name uncultured bacterium. Its description in RNAcentral is "partial 16S ribosomal RNA". It matches the Rfam family "Bacterial small subunit ribosomal RNA", at positions 524 to 776 of the family's 1533-position model. The record is from RNAcentral.
GAAGAACCGUGCGAACGUUGUUCGGAAUCACUGGGCUUAAAGGGCGCGUAGGCGGGCCCUCCGGUCAAGGGUGAAAUCCCCCGGCUCAACCGGGGAAGCGCCUUUGAUACCGAGGGCCUCGAGGGGGGUAGGGGCGCGUGGAACUUCCGGUGGAGCGGUGAAAUGCGUAGAGAUCGGAAGGAACGCCGGUGGCGAAAGCGACGCGCUGGACCCCUUCUGACGCUGAGGCGCGAAAGCCAGGGGAGCGAACGGG